GAUCAAACCUGUAUCUUCUGAGUCUCCUGCAUUGGCAGGAGUAUUCUUUACCACUGUGUCACCUGGGAAGUCCUUUCUGUAGCAUCACUUUCCCUUUAAAUCAACUUGAGGUGGGUAGAGGGGGAGUGAAGGAAUCAUACCUGAUUUUGAUUUCUUUUAGUAAGCUCCAAAGUAGAUAUUUGGCAGCUCUUUGGUAUUCUCUUUAGAGUGAAAUUUCUUUGAACUUUUAUCCAAUAUUUUCAGACCAUAGAAAAGUCUAAUUAGAUACCCUAUUUAAGUUUUUUCUUUCUUGAUUUAAUUAAAAACAUAAUUUUCUUAUAAGAUCAUAUGUCAUCUGUGCUUUUGAUUCAUGUUACAUAUUUAUUUAGCAGAUUUAAUAUACUUUGGUUUCAGCUCUUCACAAUUGGCCCCUAAGAGCCAUGAUAUAAGAACAUUGAAGUUUGCUGAUUUAAGAAUGUGGACUGAAGCAGGCUGGGUCUGAGUGCAGCAUUUUAUCUCUGUGUGGCUUUGUUGUCCUCUCCUUGUCAAUUGUAACUUGAGUUCUACUCUCUGAUGAUAUUAUCACUCCUAAACUGCUUGUGUGUAAUCUAUGGACAGAAUGGAAGCAUUCUUGACCUGGAUAUUGUCAUCUUUACGGAAGUCUUUGUGAUGUCUUCAUGCAAGCAAGUUCCGCGGAUAGGAAUGCCAGCCCUGCCCGAGCCCUGCACCCCGGCACUGCCUCCAGAGCCUGAGCUAGACUCCAACCCCAGCCUGCUGUGUGGUGGCAGACACCGUCAACGCUGGAGAGAAAGGUUUAUACAACAGAAAGAAUCACAGGAGUUUGCUCAUUUGCGAUGGCAAAAACCUGCAAUCUGUGCGGAAGUGAUUUCUGAGGAUGUCAGACCAAGAAGAGAGAAGCUUAAUUUUAGAUCAGGUUGAUUAUUUUGCAUUGGGUGUACUUGCCAGAGAUUCUGAGUUCAAUAUGCUCACUUGAGCAGCUCAGCAUAUUUGAUAGAAAUGUGGGAAUGUUAGCCAAUAGCUAUCAUACUCAUAGCCAUACCCACAGCCCUAGCCAAUGCUUAAGCUGUGAUGCCAGAAAUUUCUUGGGAUGAUGUAGAGAAAUGGAAGUAAAGAUAAGGAAAUAUUGGGGUAUCUUUACAAUGUGUAAAUCACACAUCUACAUCUAGUCAUGUCCCCCAAGUGAGACUAAAGUACCAUUCCUUCAGUGAGGCACUACCUUCAUCAAGAAAUAUAUAUAUAUAUCUGCUAAUCUCAAACUCCCAUUCCAUCCCUUCCCUACCCACCUCCCCCCAGCAACCACAAGUCUGUUCCCUAGGUCUGUGAGUAUGCUUUUGUUUUGUAGACAUGUUGAUUUGGAUUGUAUCUUAGAUUCCACAUAUAAGUGAUGUCAUAGGAUGUUUGUCUUUCUGAUGUGCUUCACUUGGUAAGAAAAUCUCUAGGUCCGUCCGUGCUGCUGCAGAUGAUGGAUAAACAACAAGGUCCUACUGUAUAACACAGGGAACUAUAGUCAAUAUCCUGUGACAAGCCAUAAUGGAAAAGAAUAUGAAAAAGAAUAUGUGUGUGUGUGUGUGUGUGUGUGUAUGUGUACCCACAUAUAUAUAUAUAGUUUGUGUGUGUGUAUAUAAUUGAGUCAUUUUGCUGUACAGAAGAAAUGAACACAAUGUCAUAAAACAGCUAUAGUCCAAUAAAAUUUUUUUAAAAAGAAACACCUUGAAAAGUGCCAGAGUGACCAUCAUCUGAGGGUAAUGGCUCCCUGAUUUCUCUGGGGGUGAUGGGGUCCCAGGAGGCAAAGUCCAAGGACAGGACCAAAGACGGAGGCAAAAUGGCUAUGGUUACCAUAAUAGGCGGCAGAGCUGGAACAAUGAUCUUGGGUUUUGAAUGUCACUGAUGUUUGGCAGUGGUAAACAGUACAAGAUGUGCCUAAGACUGAAAGAAAUGUGUAGGCCUAUUAUACUCCUCCUUGGUCUGGGUAAACUGACACCAAAACAAAAGCAAAAUUCUAGGUGACCUGAGUAAUUCUCACCCUUUACUGGUUUAUAGACCCACAGCCCGUAGAGCAGGUACUCUAUGAUAGUGCUACAAUCACUGUUCAUCUUUCUAUUCCCCUAAAAAAGGCAGUCUGACAUAUUCUUGCAGUCAUCUGUCAGGAAAAUGGUUGUGUCCAGGAGAAAGGAACCACCCAGAUCUCUGUGGG
Long non-coding RNA from Cervus hanglu yarkandensis (Yarkand deer), 2194 nucleotides. NCBI's taxonomy places the organism in Eukaryota, Metazoa, Chordata, Mammalia, Artiodactyla, Cervidae. The record is from Ensembl.